Molecule: unclassified non-coding RNA, 203 nt
Filed under: uncultured Clavulinaceae
Lineage: Eukaryota; Fungi; Basidiomycota; Agaricomycetes; Cantharellales; Hydnaceae
Description: sequence contains ITS1
Source: RNAcentral
AUGAGUUGUGAUAGGGUUUGAUGCUGGCAGCCAGUUUUUUUGGAUGCAUGUGCUCACCCUAGCAAUCAUCUUCCCAAACACCAUGUGCACAUUUUGAGGGAAUUUUGAGUAGGUCCCCACCGCUUUGGGGGGUGAUUUUCUUGUUAUACAUAAACUCGUUAAUUUAAUGAAUAUAUCAAGUCGAAAGACUUAUAAUAUCUAAA